UUUGGAUAACUGGUAAGUGUGGGAGUUACCACGCUAUACCAUAAUUUACUGCCUGAAUUGUAAUUCGAAAAAUCUGUACCGCCUAGCUCUUUUACAACUUUAUUUAUACUGAAACUAAUUUGGAUAACUGGUAAGUGUGGGAGUUACCACGCUAUACCAUAAUUUACUGCCUGAAUUGUAAUUCGAAAAAUCUGUACCGCCUAGCUCUUUUACAACUUUAUUUAUACUGAAACUAA
Molecule: long non-coding RNA, 236 nt
Filed under: Mytilus galloprovincialis (Mediterranean mussel)
Lineage: Eukaryota; Metazoa; Mollusca; Bivalvia; Mytilida; Mytilidae
Source: RNAcentral